UCUGAAAUAGAAUGUGUUAUAACAAGUGAUAAUCUUUCACUCCAAGUCAUGCACAAACUAAAUUGAAAUUAAGCAUCAAAAAAGCUACAAUGGCUGGAAAUUUUUGCUAGUUUAUUUAAGGAAUUUAGUUUGCCAUGUACAUUACUAAAACUUCUCAAUAUGCACACAACUAAAGUCACACUGGUUGAAAAGAAACUGAUACAAGCAAACUUGCCUGCUCGGAAAGGUAGAGACGUUG
Molecule: unclassified non-coding RNA, 238 nt
Filed under: Hevea brasiliensis (rubber tree)
Lineage: Eukaryota; Viridiplantae; Streptophyta; Magnoliopsida; Malpighiales; Euphorbiaceae
Source: RNAcentral